AUUGAACGCUGGCGGCAGGCUUAACACAUGCAAGUCGAGCGGUGAAGGGUAGCUUGCUACCUAACCUAGCGGCGGACGGGUGAGUAAUGCUUAGGAAUCUGCCAUUUAGUGGGGGACAACAUUCCGAAAGGAAUGCUAAUACCGCAUACGUCCUACGGGAGAAAGCAGGGGAUCUUCGGACCUUGCGCUAAAUGAUGAGCCUAAGUCGGAUUAGCUAGUUGGUGGGGUAAAGGCCUACCAAGGCGACGAUCUGUAGCGGGUCUGAGAGGAUGAUCCGCCAAACUGGGACUGGGACACGGCCCAGACUCCUACGGGAGGCAGCAGUGGGGAAUAUUGGACAAUGGGCGGAAGCCUGAUCCAGCCAUGCCGCGUGUGUGAAGAAGGCCUUAUGGUUGUAAAGCACUUUAAGCGAGGAGGAGGCUACUUAGAUUAAUACUCUAGGAUAGUGGACGUUACUCGCAGAAUAAGCACCGGCUAACUCUGUGCCAGCAGCCGCCGUAA
Molecule: ribosomal RNA, 501 nt
Filed under: uncultured bacterium
Lineage: Bacteria
Description: partial 16S ribosomal RNA
Rfam family: Bacterial small subunit ribosomal RNA
Source: RNAcentral